CUACGGGGCGCUGCAGUGGGGAAUAUUGGGCAAUGGAGGAAACUCUGACCCAGCGACGCCGCGUGAGGGAUGAAGGCCUUCGGGUUGUAAACCUCUUUCAGUAGGGAAGAAGCGAAAGUGACGGUACCUACAGAAGAAGCACCGGCUAACUAUGUGCCAGCAGCCGCGGUAAUACAUAGGGUGCAAGCGUUGUCCGGAAUUAUUGGGCGUAAAGAGCUCGUAGGUGGUUCGAUACGUCGGAUGUGAAAAUCAGGGGCUCAACCCCUGACCUGCAUUCGAUACGGUCGAGCUGGAGUUUGGUAGGGGAGACUGGAAUUCCUGGUGUAGCGGUGAAUGCGCAGAUAUCAGGAGGAACACCGAUGGCGAAGGCAGGUCUCUGGGCCAAUACUGACACUGAGGAGCGAAAGCGUGGGGAGCGAACAGGAUUAGAUACCCGGGUAGUC
This 443-nucleotide ribosomal RNA is filed under the name uncultured bacterium. RNAcentral's name for it is "partial 16S ribosomal RNA". It matches the Rfam family "Bacterial small subunit ribosomal RNA", at positions 339 to 795 of the family's 1533-position model. The record is from RNAcentral.